GAAAUAGACGUACCCGGUAGUCCACGCCGUAAACCGAUGAGUACUAGGUGUAGGGGGUAUCGACCCCCCCUGGUGCCGCAGUAAACACAAUAAGUACUCCGCCUGGGAAGUACGAUCGCAAGAUUAAAACUCAAAGGAAUUGACGGGGGCCCGCACAAGCAGCGGAGCAUGUGGUUUUAAUUCGAAGCAACGCGAAGAACCUUACCUAGACUUGACAUCUCCUGAAUUACUCGUAAUGGAGGAAGCCCUUCGGGGCAGGAAGACAGGUGGUGCAUGGUUGUCGUCAGCUCGUGUCGUGAGAUGUUAGGUUAAGUCCUGCAACGAGCGCAACCCUUAUCAUUAGUUGCUACCAGUAAGAUGAGCACUCUAGUGAGACUGCCGUGGUUAACGUGGAGGAAGGUGGGGAUGACGUCAAAUCAUCAUGCCCCUUAUGUCCAGGGCAACACACGUGCUACAAUGGGCAGAACAGAGAGAAGCAAUACCGCGAGGAGGAGCAAAUCUCAAAAACCUGCCCCCAGUUCGGAUUGCAGGCUGAAACCCCG
Molecule: ribosomal RNA, 542 nt
Filed under: uncultured bacterium
Lineage: Bacteria
Description: bacterial SSU rRNA
Rfam family: Bacterial small subunit ribosomal RNA
Source: RNAcentral